UAGGGAAUCUUCGGCAAUGGGGGCAACCCUGACCGAGCAACGCCGCGUGAGUGAAGAAGGUUUUCGGAUCGUAAAGCUCUGUUGUAAGAGAAGAACGUGUGUGAGAGUGGAAAGUUCACACAGUGGCGGUAACUUACCAGAAAGGGACGGCUAACUACGUGCCAGCAGCCGCGGUAAUACGUAGGUCCCGAGCGUUGUCCGGAUUUAUUGGGCGUAAAGCGAGCGCAGGCGGUUUAAUAAGUCUGAAGUUAAAGGCAGUGGCUUAACCAUUGUUCGCUUUGGAAACUGUUAAACUUGAGUGCAGAAGGGGAGAGUGGAAUUCCAUGUGUAGCGGUGAAAUGCGUAGAUAUAUGGAGGAACACCGGUGGCGAAAGCGGCUCUCUGGUCUGUAACUGACGCUGAGGCUCGAAAGCGUGGGGAGCAAACAGG
RNAcentral lists this ribosomal RNA (429 nucleotides) under bacterium. Its description in RNAcentral is "partial 16S ribosomal RNA". It matches the Rfam family "Bacterial small subunit ribosomal RNA", at positions 355 to 776 of the family's 1533-position model. The record is from RNAcentral.